RNAcentral lists this ribosomal RNA (445 nucleotides) under uncultured bacterium. Its description in RNAcentral is "bacterial SSU rRNA". It matches the Rfam family "Bacterial small subunit ribosomal RNA", at positions 354 to 796 of the family's 1533-position model. The record is from RNAcentral.
GUGAGGAAUAUUGCGCAAUGGAGGCAACUCUGACGCAGCCAUGCCGCGUGCAGGAAGAAGGCGCUACGCGUUGUAAACUGCUUUUAACCGGGAAGAAACCCCAGGACGUGUCCUGGGUUGACGGUACCGGAGGAAUAAGCACCGGCUAACUUCGUGCCAGCAGCCGCGGUAAUACGAAGGGUGCAAGCGUUAUCCGGAUUCAUUGGGUUUAAAGGGUGCGUAGGCGGAGCGUUAAGUCAGUGGUGAAAUCCUGCAGCUUAACUGCAGACUUGCCAUUGAUACUGGCGCUCUUGAGUGCGCUUGAAGUGGGCGGAAUGUGCCGUGUAGCGGUGAAAUGCUUAGAUAUGGCACAGAACACCAAUUGCGAAGGCAGCUCACUAAGGCGAUACUGACGCUGAGGCACGAAAGCGUGGGGAUCGAACAGGAUUAGAAACCCGGGUAGUCC